AAAGGAUGCAAACUUCGUCAAUAAUACGAUAUUAGCUCAUUGAAAUGUGGAGAGAAUUGUCAUAUGCAUGCAAUAGUGCAUUCUACGAUUCAGUGGAUAAAACUGGAAAAUUUAUAACCAUAUCAUUACGCAAAAGUGUAGUUCUGGAGUAAAAAUUUUUCCCCCGUAACCCCAAAAUAUUUCAAAUGGAUCCACGGGAAGGAAAUAGAUUAACUUGUUCCACUUGCCUAAAAAUAUUCAGCUCGAAAACAUGCUUGAAACGUCACAUGGUCACGCAUGACGCCGAUGCGAAGGUGAAAUGUAAGGUAAUCGACUAAACUUAUUUAUGACAUUGAAAGUGACUCCAGAAGGCCUAUCAAAGCACAUAAAACUGCUUCACACCAACCGGAACCGACCCAAUUGCGAAAUAUGUCACCGUGUAUUUUUCACACGUCAAACUUUCCUAAAACACAUUGAAGUCAUGCACAAUACGAGGAAACGACCCUUGCGAAUUUCCUGGAUGUGAGAAAACCUACUUGAACCGCGAAACUGUAUCGCAACACGUAAAAACUGAACAUGUCGAGAAUCCGACCAGAUUUCCGUGCACACUUUGCGGUAAAGAAUUCAAGAAUAGAUAAAGACUUGGCACGCACAUUUCCACCCACACGACGGAGAAAGCGUACACUUGUUCAACUUGUGGAAGGAGCUUCUCACAUGAGAGAAGUUUAAAAAGGCACCAGGCAACACAUUUGGAAAAAUUGACGCGAAGGAUUUUCAAGUGUGAAGUUUGUCCUCAGAUCUCCUUAAGUAGAGCGAACUUGCAAAUACAUGUCCAAAUUGUGCAUGAAAAUCAGAGGAAUCAUCUGUGCACAUUUUGUAACAACAGAUUCUUGACAUCAGCCCAUUUGAGACGUCACGUGGAGGCGAGACAUAGUGGAAAUACGGAGAUUCAUUCCUGCAACAAAUGCGAGUACAAGAGUCACUCGAAAGGCAAUUUAGCUCAACACGAAAGGCGUCACAAUCCUGCGAAUCGACGAGAAUGUUACUUCUGCCAGAAGCAGUUUGUGAAUUUUUGAGAAUUGGUGGCCCACCAUACUCUGGAAUAUUGAUAAUCCAGGAAACUUGUUAUUGCUCUUGUAUGAUUUUGUUACAUAUUUGGCCGGCCAUUUGUACAUGCUUACUUUGCAUUCAAGUAAAAUUUAAAAACUCGACAAAUAUUCCUCAAACGUUGAUUAUAAAUUAAUAACCGUCUGAUGGGAUGAAAUUAUGUUUUUCAAAAUGUUAUGUAAAUACGAAUAAAACGAAGCGGUUAAUUACUGCAAAUAUUCCAA
Molecule: long non-coding RNA, 1310 nt
Organism: Folsomia candida
Lineage: Eukaryota; Metazoa; Arthropoda; Collembola; Entomobryomorpha; Isotomidae
Exons: 2
Source: RefSeq, a predicted model, not a curated record